GUCUUUUUGAUAAUAAUUUAAAGUUUGACCUGCUCAAUGAAGAUUAAAUAGCUGCAGUAUUUUGACUGUACAAAGGUAGCAUAAUAAAUAGUUUCUUAAUUAGAAGCUGGUAUGAAUGGUUGGACGAGAUAAUUUCUGUCUCUUUAAAAAUUUUUUUGAAUUUUAUUUUUAAGUUAAAAAGCUUAAAUUUUUUUUAUAGACGAGAAGACCCUAUAGAGUUUUAUUAAAUUUGGAAUUUGUAUUAUUGGGAAAGUUUAUUUUUUUAAAUUUUAAAUUUAAUUUUAUUGGGGUGAUGUAAAAAUUUAAUAAACUUUUUAAUUUUUAUUUCAUUUAUUUAUGUUUGUUUGAUCCAAUAUUUUUGAUUAUUAGAGUAAAUUACCUUAGGGAUAACAGCGUAAUUUUUUUAGAGAGUUCUAAUCGAUAAAAAAGUUUGCGACCUCGAUGUUGGAUUAAAAUUAAAAUUUGGUGUAGAAGCUAAGUAAUUUAGGUCUGUUCGACCUUUAAAAUUUU
RNAcentral lists this ribosomal RNA (510 nucleotides) under Helophorus nivalis. Its description in RNAcentral is "partial 16S ribosomal RNA". The stretch from base 386 to 510 matches the Rfam family "Bacterial large subunit ribosomal RNA", at positions 2473 to 2597 of the family's 2925-position model. The record is from RNAcentral. Lineage: Eukaryota; Metazoa; Arthropoda; Insecta; Coleoptera; Helophoridae.